AUUGAACGCUGGCGGCAGGCCUAACACAUGCAAGUCGAGCGGAUGAAGGGAGCUUGCUCCUGGAUUCAGCGGCGGACGGGUGAGUAAUGCCUAGGAAUCUGCCUGGUAGUGGGGGAUAACGUCCGGAAACGGGCGCUAAUACCGCAUACGUCCUGAGGGAGAAAGUGGGGGAUCUUCGGACCUCACGCUAUCAGAUGAGCCUAGGUCGGAUUAGCUAGUUGGUGGGGUAAAGGCCUACCAAGGCGACGAUCCGUAACUGGUCUGAGAGGAUGAUCAGUCACACUGGAACUGAGACACGGUCCAGACUCCUACGGGAGGCAGCAGUGGGGAAUAUUGGACAAUGGGCGAAAGCCUGAUCCAGCCAUGCCGCGUGUGUGAAGAAGGUCUUCGGAUUGUAAAGCACUUUAAGUUGGGAGGAAGGGCAGUAAGUUAAUACCUUGCUGUUUUGACGUUACCAACAGAAUAAGCACCGGCUAACUUCGUGCCAGCAGCCGCGGUAAUACGAAGGGUGCAAGCGUUAAUCGGAAUUACUGGGCGUAAAGCGCGCGUAGGUGGUUCAGCAAGUUGGAUGUGAAAUCCCCGGGCUCAACCUGGGAACUGCAUCCAAAACUACUGAGCUAGAGUACGGUAGAGGGUGGUGGAAUUUCCUGUGUAGCGGUGAAAUGCGUAGAUAUAGGAAGGAACACCAGUGGCGAAGGCGACCACCUGGACUGAUACUGACACUGAGGUGCGAAAGCGUGGGGAGCAAACA
Molecule: ribosomal RNA, 751 nt
Filed under: Pseudomonas sp. enrichment culture clone AD_Bacteria_54
Lineage: Bacteria; Pseudomonadati; Pseudomonadota; Gammaproteobacteria; Pseudomonadales; Pseudomonadaceae
Description: bacterial SSU rRNA
Rfam family: Bacterial small subunit ribosomal RNA
Source: RNAcentral